Molecule: small nuclear RNA, 130 nt
Filed under: Dasypus novemcinctus (nine-banded armadillo)
Lineage: Eukaryota; Metazoa; Chordata; Mammalia; Cingulata; Dasypodidae
Description: U4 spliceosomal RNA (ENSDNOG00000029273.1)
Rfam family: U4 spliceosomal RNA
About the family: U4 small nuclear RNA (U4 snRNA) is a component of the major U2-dependent spliceosome. The structure of U4 snRNA from yeast and human has been reported.
Source: RNAcentral
AUAUUUGUGUCGUGACAGUAUUGUAGCCAAUGAGAUGCACCCUAGGCACGAUAAUUUGUAAUUGAAAACUUUUCCCAAUACUCCAUGACUACUUGAAAUAUUUGUGUACAAGUUUCUGCAUGGAUAUAUG